CACGUAGGGGGCAAGCGUUGUCCGGAUUUAUUGGGCGUAAAGAGCUCGUAGGCGGUUUCGUAAGUCGGGUGUGAAAACUCUAGGCUCAACCUAGAGACGCCACCCGAUACUGCGAUGACUAGAGUCCGGUAGGGGAGUGUGGAAUUCCUGGUGUAGCGGUGAAAUGCGCAGAUAUCGGGAGGAACACCAAUGGCGAAGGCAGCUCGCUGGGACGGUACUGACGCUGAGACGCGAAAGCGUGGGGAGCAAACAGG
RNAcentral lists this ribosomal RNA (254 nucleotides) under uncultured bacterium. RNAcentral describes it as "partial 16S ribosomal RNA". It matches the Rfam family "Bacterial small subunit ribosomal RNA", at positions 524 to 776 of the family's 1533-position model. The record is from RNAcentral.